This is a long non-coding RNA of Gopherus evgoodei (Goodes thornscrub tortoise), 3600 nucleotides long. RefSeq lists it as uncharacterized. The record is from RefSeq and is a predicted model, not a curated record. The transcript has 7 exons. Lineage: Eukaryota; Metazoa; Chordata; Testudines; Testudinidae.
UCGGCCUCGCUCUGGUUCAGGCAGCUGCUAUAUAGUCGUCUGUAAGAUACAGUCCGUCCUUUUUCCCUGCGGAGAAUGGGAGGUGCUGGUUCAAGUGGCGGGAACUAUGGAAAUAAACUUCAUGGUGAUAUCCUGGAAGUUGUGCAGAAUAAUUAAGCCCUUCAUGAGAACAUCAACAGUUCUAGAAGACUAUAUGAUGUACAAUUGUGGAUGUUCCUGAAUAUUUAAGACAGAAUGUGACUUAUUAGCAAGUAUCCAGUGGAUAAUGAAUCAGUGAAUGACUAACUGACAGCGCAGUUGGGAUAUAAAACUACUUGUGACUCUAGUACUACUAAAACAGAGAUCGCUGAAGGCUGACUCAAUAUUAAAGUGAAAUGGUGGAAAAUUUAGGAGCAGAUGCAUUUAGUUAUUCAGUGAUGAGGUGGAAUUUUUUGUUUUCAUCACCUGACAAGUGUGGGGAGUAUCACUGGAAGAAGUCUGACACCUGAAGAUACCAAGAUUUUAACAACAAAAAAUGUUAUCAGGUUUAUGCUUCUGAAAUAGUUUGUGGAGUUUGGUAGUUAAUAUUUCUGAAACUUCACAUGGUCCAGAAUCAGUUGGUCUCUGCUUCCUUUAAAACAGUGAGCAAUCAUGUUCUGUAGAAAUCUGAAGAUCUUGCCAAAAUUGAAGACCCAGCUCCCUCUAGUGAAACCAAAGCUGUCUUAUAAUAGGGAAACUGCAUGUGGGAUCAAAGAAGAGAGAAUUCAGUUUUGCUAAAAUCAGUCUGAAAACAGAAGAUGUUAAAUCUGACAUGAUUUCUCUCAGAUUAUGGUGGCUUAAGGGAAAUAGAACAUAAAAUCUAGUUUUUCCCCACUGUUUAUCAGGAGAGGCGCCUCUACUCAGUAAACAAAAUAUUACGGGCAACAAACAGUAAGCUUCAGGGGGAAAACUUAAAGUGGCUAGCCAGUUUCCUGUGAAGGAAAUAAAAGCACAAUAAAGAAAUAAAGCACGCUUUGAUACUACUGAGGAAAAAGGUAUUCCCUGAACAGUAAUAAAAUGGGCAAUGGAAAAUCCAGGCACCUUCUGUGGAAAGAUGGUGAGAGCACCAAUUAAUGUAGAAAAUCAUCAUAAUGAGGCUUCUCCCUCAGAGCAAUUUCAUUCAGGAAGUGAAAGAGGAAGAUCAGGUGGUGGUAUUAAUCAGUGAAGCCACUGAGGAAGCAAAAAUCAGAUAUUUGUAAGAAAGCAAAAUUCAGCACUCAUCGUAGGAGUUGUGGUCACAAGAGAACUAGGCUUAAACCACAGCCAGGGUUCUGUUUAUGCUGGUGGGGAAAGAAGUAGGUUUUUAUGCACUGCUGCCCAACUGCAUGAAAAGACCAAAGCAUUGGUGUGGAACUUUUUUCUGUUGAGCAUAAAGAUGCUAGCAAUGCAUGGUUUUUUUUGUGGAAGAGGACCACUCAGGAAUUUCUAUUUUAAGAAACGUCUUGAAAAAUAACCAUGCCAUAAUGUGGGAGAAACAUCUCUGCAUUCAGCAACUAAGCACUAACGCAGUAGGGAAAGAGGUAGAGGAGGCAGGUCAUAACAUCUGAUAAAUUGCAGUCCACAAAUACGCCAAUCAGUGGCAUACUAUCCAGUAUGCUUUUUAGUGUUAGGAAGGGAAGCAGAUACACAGGCAAACUACCCAUUGACUGACAUACUUUGAUAUGUCUUUCAGAGUAGGUUAAGAAAAAUCAUCCUGUAAUCUCCAUGCUUAAUACAAAACUGGCAACAAUGCUAGCAGUGGGUCUGCAGCCCUUUUAUUGGGCAGGGCAGAGGGCUUUCAGGCACUAAGGGAAUACCCCAUUCCCAAGUGUCAAAUACCUAGCCAAAAAGUAGGUUAUGCUAAGACAAUACCGUAGUUGAACAAAUCUCCAUGUUGCAGUGUCCAAGGCAUUGAGGCUGUCAAAGGUGAGGAAGAUCAAUCAGCUCACUGAAAUGUGGAGCAGUGGUUAGACCAUGGACUGUGUGUAUCAGCUCACUGGGUAUCUCUUCCUCUAGUUACCUGUGGUAGCAGAUAGCCAGAUACUUUGCCACAUCCUACAGCUCAACAUUGGGUAACAUGUAACACCGUGUUUGAAGUUUUGAAAAAAACCCUACAAUUCAUUGUGUAUUGGAGAAACUGCAGAAUGGCUUUCUCUUUGCUCACUUUUAGGAGCAUUUAUUACCAGUCUUGUCUUAGAUUUAUGUGCCAUUAAGUAAGGGCGAUACUUCAAUCUGCCAUGCUUUGUACACAUUCUUGAUGCAGUAGUUCAUUCUUUUCUGAACAAAGAUGAGGAUGUGAAGUGCUUUCAUGUGCAUGUCAAGUCUGCAGUCAUUCAGUUUUCAGCCAUUCCUUUACAGCUGCUUAUACUUUACAAGAACUGCAAAGGCAAAAUAGCCUGCCACUGCACCAACUCAAACACUAUGGCCCAGACAAAUGGAGUUCCACUCUCUGUGCUUGAGCAAUUACUGACUAUGUAGUGCUUCAGAAGUGUGAAGGAAGCAAUCUGUUUUUAACUCUUCCACAGUGGAGCUUUAAGAAAAGUCUAUGUAGUAUGUGGAAACCUUUUGAUGAAGCUUUCAAAGGGCGAGCUAAAAAGAUGCUAGUCUUACCCAAGUCAUUCUGCUCAUUUGCCUCCUGGAGGGAAAAAAAUGUGCUGCCUGUGAGAAGUGGAUGAUAUUACAGCAAUCUGUUUGGUAAAUAGUAGGUUAGCCAUUCUGAAAAAAGACUUUAUAUAAUUUAUAUUAGGAUGUAUGAGGAGUGCAUUCUUGCCAGAUGGGAUUGCUAAAUAUUUUUGGGAUCCCCUAGUACUUCCCAUGUAUCACAUUCCAAAAUGUUGCUCUGGGAUUUGCUCCUUGAUCUAGGUUUGAUGAAAGUAACAGAAAGGGGUAUUAUGCCAGAAGAUCCUGCUAUCUCUGCUUAUGGAAUGGUGGAGGCCGAUCUCCAGGAGGAAUUAAAUGUAAAUCAUGGCAAGUUUUUAAUUCACAACAAGAAAAUUCAGUCACAUGAUUUUGUAAAGUUACUGUUUAAAAAGUCAUGCAUCUUGUUAAAGUUCAGUUGCUUUAUAAAUGAAGCAUUAAAACACUGCAUGCAUCAGGCAGAACUUUAUGUUGACAGUCUGUACCAAUAUUCAUUGGAUCUGAAUGUUGAGGUUGUUGCAAGCCAGUAACUGAAGUUAAAGCUAGAUUAGUUAGUUUUAUUGUACCUUGGCCUUUAAUACAUGUGAGAAUAAACCAUGUGCCUUUAGCGCUGUUUUUCUUACAUUGCCUGAGAACCAAGUUUGAUUUAAGGAUAUUAAAUUUCUGAUUUCUUAACGUGAUAAUGGGAUAACUUUUUCUGUCUUGGUAGCUGCUGUCAUUAAAAAUAGUUAGACCCUGUGUGCAAUCCUUUGUGCAACUGAACUUAAACUGGUAAAAAUGAGAAUGGGAGCUAUCAAAUACUGUAUGCUAAUCAGCUCCUUCCCUAAGCUAGGCCAUGGAAGAUGCUGAUUAAGGAUUGUGCUCUAUGGACAAAAAUGCCUCUCCUGGUGUCAAAACAUGUGCAUGUGUGAAUACAGAGAGCAACAAAAUAACACCACAAAUAAAGAACAACUGAUAUUUCUUCAA